GCAUCUAAGAACCAUACUACCAGCAGAUCAUGCUCUCCCUGAGCAACAGCAGCACCCCCUCCAUCCCCUCUCCAGCCAACUUCCUGGGUCUAUGCAAGGGACCACCUGCCUUCAGAAAAGGAUUCAGGCCUUGGUGCUAUGCUGAAGAUUACAUGUGGCCUUCUGUGACAUGUGGAAAGAAACUGGGGACCUUCUGUUUCCCAUCUAGUCUUCAGAUUCUGAAGCAAACAGAAUGUUAUCUGACUGACACAAAGCAGAGCUACGUUUUGACAGAAGUCACCUGCAUCUUGUUAAUAUAUUCAUGUACACACGUUCAGGCCAGUUCUGUCUCAAAUGAAUUAAAUUCCUGGAGUCCCACUGAUGACAUGAAGAAGGAAAAUGACCUGAAAUCACAUGUUGAACAGUUCCAAAUAGAGAAAACUGGAUGUAUCCAUCUGGGAGAAAGGAGAGCAAAACAAAGUCUGUUGGUAGAAGUCUCAAAUAUUAUGGUGUGUUAAUGAUCAUAAAAGCAUUGUCAUGAGUGGACAUUUUGGUGGAGCCUGAAAAACCAACAGGAUCAUAUAUGGUGCAAGGAAAUGAGUUGGCAGACUCUCAAGGUAAUUAGGCAGCAAUGCAGAGACCAGUUUUUCCUUCUAAAGUGUUGUGUGGUAUAGAUCUGAGAAAGGGGACUGUUAUCUUUGCAAUUCAUCGAAGAAGUUUUGGCAAAUUCAUUAUUACCAGACAUCCAUUGGCUGCUGCUCAUGCCAUAGCAGGUGUAGAGCAGACGAUAAGGCUGUAUGGGCUACAGGGAUUUGGAUUCAUUCUGUGCUUAGUUUUGCUCUUGCUGCCAUUGAAACGAAAGGAAGACAGACAGAUCUGUACAAGAUGUGGAGUACCAUUACUGUUCAUGGUUCUCCAUGUUGUACCCACUGAGUGGACCUUUGGAGGAGGAUCAGGAACCAAAUUUCUUUCAGUGGGAGAUGAAGAGAUACUGUGCACUUGUUAGGAUCAAACUUUAGAAGAUUGCGUUCUUAAUGUCACCUCUAUUAAAACACUCAGUUACUAGUUUUCCUGUUUUAUUAUAUGAGCUUUCAUUACUGUGACAUCGAUGCAUAUCAGUUCAGGAUUACAUAGCAUUUGUCCUGUAUCUAACCACAUCCUGAAUUCUAUCUUGUGGUUCAUCUGGCUGCUAGUGUUUUUGACAUCUGAAUGCCAUUGGGUUGCAGGAUCUCAUAUCCUACAACCUUGUUCAGCUCAGUUCUGACUUCUAAAUGUAUAGAUAAAAUAGAGAAUCUGUCUUAUAACAGUUGAGUAGAUGGAGUGUUUGAGUUUACAGAGUUAUUCUAACUGGACUGUCUUGUUGGUAAGUCUUGACAUUUAGGUUUGAUAUGUGGCAAUCGAAUGAGCUUUUAGUACACUGCUAGGAUUGUAUCCAUUAGGCUUCUUUUCAGUAAAAAAUCUUGCUGCUGUUUGUUGUGACAUUUGAAAUCUUGAGUCAAAUGGCAUUUUCGGAACUUUUGUACUCUAUUACAA
This 1512-nucleotide long non-coding RNA is filed under the name Anas platyrhynchos platyrhynchos (common mallard). RNAcentral's name for it is "lncRNA (ENSAPLG00000028408.1)". Lineage: Eukaryota; Metazoa; Chordata; Aves; Anseriformes; Anatidae. The record is from RNAcentral.